UCGCCUGUUUAUCAAAAACAUGGCUCUCUGUAUAUUGAAGAUAGAGAGUCGGACCUGCCCGGUGAAUUUUUUAACGGCCGCGGUACUCUGACCGUGCAAAGGUAGCAUAAUCAUUUGCCUUAUAAUUGAAGGCUAGAAUGAAUGGUUUGACAAGAAUACAACUGUCUCUUUACAAUUACAUAAAAUUUUAUCUGCAGUUGAAGAAGCCUGCAUUUGAAUAAAAGACAAGAAGACCCUAUCGAGCUUAAAAAAAACUGGUGGAAUAACAAACUUAAUCCUAACUUAUAAAUAAAUAAAUAGUCAACUACUGGAAAUUUUGGUUGGGGCGACCGGGGAACAAAAAAAACUUCCUUUAUAAAAAUUUAGAUGCCCAAAUAUUGAUCCAGCAUUAUAUGAUUAAAGAAAUUAGUUACCGUAGGGAUAACAGCAUUAUCUUUUUUAAGAGUUCUUAUCGAAAACCGUUUGUGACCUCGAUGUUGGACCAGAAUAUCCUAAAGAUGCAGCC
RNAcentral lists this ribosomal RNA (505 nucleotides) under Turbinella pyrum. RNAcentral describes it as "partial 16S ribosomal RNA". It matches the Rfam family "Bacterial large subunit ribosomal RNA", at positions 1796 to 2560 of the family's 2925-position model. Lineage: Eukaryota; Metazoa; Mollusca; Gastropoda; Neogastropoda; Turbinellidae. The record is from RNAcentral.